CUAUGACGGGAUCCGGCCUGAGAGGGUGAACGGACACACUGGAACUGAGACACGGUCCAGACUCCUACGGGAGGCAGCAGUAGGGAAUAUUGCUCAAUGGGGGAAACCCUGAAGCAGCAACGCCGCGUGGAGGAUGAAGGUUUUAGGAUUGUAAACUCCUUUUGUUAGAGAAGAUAAUGACGGUAUCUAACGAAUAAGCACCGGCUAACUCCGUGCCAGCAGCCGCGGUAAUACGGAGGGUGCAAGCGUUACUCGGAAUCACUGGGCGUAAAGAGCGCGUAGGCGGGAUAGUCAGUCAGGUGUGAAAUCCUAUGGCUUAACCAUAGAACUGCAUUUGGAAACUGCUAUUCUAGAGUGUGGGAGAG
This 365-nucleotide ribosomal RNA is filed under the name Helicobacter pylori. RNAcentral describes it as "bacterial SSU rRNA". It matches the Rfam family "Bacterial small subunit ribosomal RNA", at positions 274 to 656 of the family's 1533-position model. The record is from RNAcentral. Lineage: Bacteria; Pseudomonadati; Campylobacterota; Epsilonproteobacteria; Campylobacterales; Helicobacteraceae.